RNAcentral lists this ribosomal RNA (315 nucleotides) under uncultured fungus. RNAcentral's name for it is "partial small subunit ribosomal RNA". It matches the Rfam family "Eukaryotic small subunit ribosomal RNA", at positions 30 to 340 of the family's 1831-position model. The record is from RNAcentral. Lineage: Eukaryota; Fungi.
GCUUGUCUCAAAGAUUAAGCCAUGCAUGUCUAAGUAUAAACGACUUUAUACUGUGAAACUGCGAAUGGCUCAUUAUAUCAGUUAUAGUUUAUUUGAUGGUCCUUGCUACUUGGAUAACCGUAGUAAUUCUAGAGCUAAUACAUGCAUUAAACCCCGACUUCUGGAAGGGGUGUAUUUAUUAGACCAAGACCAAGGGUGCCUCGUGUACCUACUGGUGGUGACUCUGAAUAACUUUCUAGCUGAUCGCAUAGCCUUGCGCUGGCGACAUAUCCUUCGAGUAACUGCCUUAUCAACUUUCGAUGGUAGGUUAUUCGC